CUUGGGAGUGCAAGCUUGCAUGAAGACCUUCUUCUUGGUCAAUUUGGAUCUUUUUUUUAAAUCUCUAAAAUCUUUCUAGAGAUUGAAGAUAAAUUUCUGAAGGAGAUGAAGAGAUGAAAGAAAGAUGAAGAAGAAAAUAAUUUUUUUCUAAUUUAUUUCCUCUUCCCAAGCCCUUAGAACCAAAAAUCUGAAAUUCAGGUCUUUGCACACACCCCA
This 216-nucleotide long non-coding RNA is filed under the name Elaeis guineensis (African oil palm). RNAcentral's name for it is "long non-coding RNA (EGUI_LNC079253)". Lineage: Eukaryota; Viridiplantae; Streptophyta; Magnoliopsida; Arecales; Arecaceae. The record is from RNAcentral.